UGGGGAAUAUUGCACAAUGGGCGCAAGCCUGAUGCAGCCAUGCCGCGUGUGUGAAGAAGGCCUUCGGGUUGUAAAGCACUUUCAGCGGGGAGGAAGGCGGUGAGGUUAAUAACCUCAUCGAUUGACGUUACCCGCAGAAGAAGCACCGGCUAACUCCGUGCCAGCAGCCGCGGUAAUACGGAGGGUGCAAGCGUUAAUCGGAAUUACUGGGCGUAAAGCGCACGCAGGCGGUCUGUCAAGUCGGAUGUGAAAUCCCCGGGCUCAACCUGGGAACUGCAUUCGAAACUGGCAGGCUAGAGUCUUGUAGAGGGGGGUAGAAUUCCAGGUGUAGCGGUGAAAUGCGUAGAGAUCUGGAGAAAUACCGGUGGCGAAGGCGGCCCCCUGGACAAAGACUGACGCUCAGGUGCGAAAGCGUGGGAGCAAACAGG
Molecule: ribosomal RNA, 428 nt
Filed under: Chloroflexota bacterium
Lineage: Bacteria; Bacillati; Chloroflexota
Description: Chloroflexi bacterium partial 16S ribosomal RNA
Rfam family: Bacterial small subunit ribosomal RNA
Source: RNAcentral